AGGACGAACGCUGGCGGCGCGCUUAACACAUGCAAGUCGAGCGAGAACCAGGCCUUCGGGCCUGGGGAAAGCGGCGAACGGGUGAGUAACACGUGGGUAACCCACCCUUGGUACCGGGAUAGCCCGAGGAAACUCGGAUUAAUACCGGAUGGCCCAACAGCUUCUCGGAGCGGUUGGAAAAGGUAGCUUCGGCCUCCGACCAAGGACGGGCCCGCGGUGGAUUAGCUUGUUGGUGAGGUAACGGCUCACCAAGGCUUCGAUCCAUAGCUGGUCUGAGAGGACGAUCAGCCACACUGGGACUGAGACACGGCCCAGACUCCUACGGGAGGCAGCAGUGGGGAAUCUUGCGCAAUGGGCGAAAGCCUGACGCAGCGACGCCGCGUGGGGGAAGAAGGCUUUCGGGUUGUAAACCCCUUUCAGGAAGGACGAAGCCACUCGGGUUAAUAGCCCAGAGGGUGACGGUACUUCCAGAAGAAGCCCCGGACUAACUACGUGCCAGCAGCCGCGGUAA
RNAcentral lists this ribosomal RNA (511 nucleotides) under uncultured bacterium. Its description in RNAcentral is "SSU rRNA". It matches the Rfam family "Bacterial small subunit ribosomal RNA", at positions 26 to 523 of the family's 1533-position model. The record is from RNAcentral.